GUGUGUAUACCUGAGUAUACCUCUCCCUGUAUAUCUCAGAGUACCUCAUUAUCUGUGUGUGUGUGUGUAUACCUGAGUAUUCCUCUCCCUGUAUAUCUCAGAGUACCUCAUUAUCUCAGCUGAGAUGCAGGGGUCGUUUCUACAGGCGCGUUGUGAUGAACCCCUCAUGACAACAGACUGGGGUUUGCCCCUCCUCCUGUCUCUCAUCGUCCUGGGGCUGCUCUACGCCUUCCUCUACCUCCCUUCCGUGGCACAACGAGCCCUGCUGGAGCAGGCCCUCAACAACCAGACUGGACUACCUUCCUCUACCUCCUCACCAUGAUACAGAGAGGAGCAGGUCCUCAACAACCUUCCUCUACCUCCUCACCAUGACACAGAGAGGAGCAGGUCCUACCUUCCUCUACCUCCUCACCAUGAUACAGAGAGGAGCAGGCCCUCAACAACCUUCCUCUACCUCCUCACCAUGAUACAGAGAGGAGCAGGCCCUCAACAACCUUCCUCUACCUCCUCACCAUGACACAGAGAGGAGCAGGUCCUCAACAAUCUUCCUCUACCUCCUCACCAUGACACAGAGAGGAGCAGGCCCUACCUUCCUCUACCUCCUCACCAUGAUACAGAGAGGAGCAGGUCCUACCUUCCUCUACCUCCUCACCAUGACACAGAGAGGAGCAGG
This 673-nucleotide long non-coding RNA is filed under the name Salmo salar (Atlantic salmon). RNAcentral describes it as "lncRNA (ENSSSAG00000119508.1)". The record is from RNAcentral. Lineage: Eukaryota; Metazoa; Chordata; Actinopteri; Salmoniformes; Salmonidae.